RNAcentral lists this ribosomal RNA (810 nucleotides) under uncultured bacterium. RNAcentral's name for it is "bacterial SSU rRNA". It matches the Rfam family "Bacterial small subunit ribosomal RNA", at positions 8 to 796 of the family's 1533-position model. The record is from RNAcentral.
AGAGUUUGAUCAUGGCUCAGGACGAACGCUGGCGGCGUGGAUAAGACAUGCAAGUCGGACGGGAUUAUUUCUAGUAGCAAUACCGGGGAUGAUUCAGUGGCGAACGGGUGCGUAACACGUGGGCAAUCUGCCGAAAAGUGGGGGAUAGCUCGCCGAAAGGCGAAUUAAUACCGCAUGUGGUGAGAGUAGACAUCUAUUCGAAUCCAAAGCCGGGGCAACCUGGCGCUUUCUGAGGAGCCCGCGGCCUAUCAGCUAGUUGGUGAGGUAACGGCCCACCAAGGCGAUGACGGGUAGCUGGUCUGAGAGGACGACCAGUCACACUGGAACUGAGACACGGUCCAGACACCUACGGGUGGCAGCAGUCGAGAAUUUUUCUCAAUGGGGGAAACCCUGAAGGAGCGACGCCGCGUGGAGGAUGAAGGCUUUCGGGUUGUAAACUCCUGUCAUUUGGGAACAAUGCGUCAGAAUUAACUGUUUUGGCGUUGAUAGUACCAGAAGAGGAAGAGACGGCUAACUCUGUGCCAGCAGCCGCGGUAAUACAGAGGUCUCGAGCGUUGUUCGGAUUCAUUGGGCGUAAAGGGUGCGUAGGUGGCGCCGUAAGUCGGGUGUGAAAUUUCGGAGCUUAACUCCGAAACUGCAUUCGAUACUGCGGUGCUUGAGGACUGGAGAGGAGACUGGAAUUCAUGGUGUAGCAGUGAAAUGCGUAGAGAUCAUGAGGAAGACCAGUGGCGAAGGCGGGUCUCUGGACAGUUCCUGACACUGAGGCACGAAGGCCAGGGGAGCAAACGGGAUUAGAUACCCCUGUAGUCC